Molecule: long non-coding RNA, 1535 nt
Organism: Dunckerocampus dactyliophorus (ringed pipefish)
Lineage: Eukaryota; Metazoa; Chordata; Actinopteri; Syngnathiformes; Syngnathidae
Exons: 3
Source: RefSeq, a predicted model, not a curated record
UGUAGCGGGACACAGACCUCCUCCAGCAGGUAGACGGUGUUCCUGCAGCCGCCCAUCUUGGAGGUGAACGAGGAGGUAGUGGGCGAGCUCCAGUCCUCCAGAACCUCCUGCACGAACUCGGACACGGAAACGCACUCCGGCAUGGUUCCUCGCCUGCACCCCCCAGCAACCGGGCCAGGAUCAAAAUCAAGACGGGACGGGGAACAAUAGCACAAAAGACAGACGAGGCCGGCGGGGAAUCCCUCUCAGAGCCAGAACCAGCACUGGAUGGACGGCAUAGUCAUGGAGCUGGGAUGAAAUCAAUCGGCUGAUUUGAGCUCUAAUUGAUGCUGAUUAAAUUGAUUAUAACUUGAUGAGCGUUUGUCUCACAACAAAAGACGGUUCAGUCCAGCCAGUCCCGGUCUGACGGUACCAGGUUAAAACAGACAAUCCGGUCUCUUGUUAAACUAACGAGUGUAGGUUCGGAGAAGACCCGGAGACCCGCCCGGCUGUCGAACCUGCUGACAAAGAGCGGAGGACCAGGGCAAGCAAGCCGAGCUCCGCACGCCGGAAGAGUCUUCAGAGGACCGAAGAGGGCCAAUUAGAGGUUCUGGUUCCUUGCGUCCUCGUCCAACUGGAUUAGCCUCAGCCUGCUCUAAAGUCACCAACUGGAGCUCCGCCUCCACCUUACCCUACCACACACACACGCAGAAUGAAGGUCCUGGUGUGCCAGACAGACAAAGCCGCACCCCCGUGUUCUUACCAUGAUCCUCAGCUGUCUUCUGACGGGUCACUGGCCACCAGCCCUUCAUCUUUUUGGAGCGGAAUAUGGAAACCCGCGGGGCGGCCCGGUCUUUGGCCAUCUGGACCGUGCACUUGCCGGACGACUUUGCCGCCCGCACCAUGUCACUGAGGCGCAGCUCGAUGGCGCCUGGAAGAGUUUGGAGAGGAGGAUGGAUCAUCAAUGUCCACAUGGAUGCAUGUACUGUAUUUCUAAAAACAUGUUUUUUUAACAUAUACUGACCUUUUGUAUCUACACAAAUUGGGUAUUGUACUUGAUAUUGUGGGGGAGAGAAUAAAAUGUAGACAAGCUUGGUCUCACCCAGGAAGUCGUUGGCCAAGAUGCGGUCAUAGUCCCAUAUCUGCAGCGCGAGGACCGCCGGUUGCCGAAACUCGGUCUCCUCCAGAGAAAAGAUGGACUCCUUCCUCUUGUAGACCACCUCUUUCUUCAUGUUUACAUCCAACACAACAAGGAGGACAUGGACAACAUUGUCAAACUAGAAACAACACUUUCAUCACAAUUUUUGUGCAAACAGAUGAUGUCUUGACGCUGCAUAUUAUUGCAAUCCCUGAUAUGUUUUUUCCAUCCUUACAUUUUUCAGUGUCUUGCUCAGAAAUUUUGGAAUUAACACAAAACCUCUGAUUGGAAGAGGUCUAUCAACAAAGGCCCAUCCACCCAACCUACGGGACGACCCUGUCAUCCAAAUGUACACUGUAUCUGUGUGUGUACCUCAGUGGGCAGGUAAUCAAAGCGAAAGACAAAUCUCCAGUUGAAG